CCCGCACAAGCGGUGGAGCAUGUGGUUUAAUUCGAUGCUACACGAAGAACCUUACCAGGGUUUGACAUACAAGUAGUAGGGAAGGAAACUGGACCGACCCUUCGGGGAGCUUGUACAGGUGCUGCAUGGCUGUCGUCAGCUCGUGUCGUGAGAUGUUCGGUUAAGUCCGCUAACGAGCGCAACCCUCGCUGUGUGUUACAAGUGUCAUAUGGGACUGCCGAUAUAAAGUCGGAGGAAGGUGGGGAUGACGUCAAGUCAGCAUGGCCUUUAUGUCCGGGGCUACACACACGCUACAAUGGCCGGUACAAUAGGUAGCAAGACCGCGAGGUGGAGCCAAUCCUAAAAGCCGGUCUCAGUUCAGAUUGCAGGCUGCAACUCGCCUGCAUGAAGUCGGAGUUGCUAGUAACCGCGCGUCAGCAAUAGUGCGGUGAAUACGUUCCCGGGCCUU
This 448-nucleotide ribosomal RNA is filed under the name uncultured Anaerolineaceae bacterium. RNAcentral describes it as "bacterial SSU rRNA". It matches the Rfam family "Bacterial small subunit ribosomal RNA", at positions 920 to 1382 of the family's 1533-position model. Lineage: Bacteria; Bacillati; Chloroflexota; Anaerolineae; Anaerolineales; Anaerolineaceae. The record is from RNAcentral.